Molecule: ribosomal RNA, 373 nt
Filed under: uncultured bacterium
Lineage: Bacteria
Description: bacterial SSU rRNA
Rfam family: Bacterial small subunit ribosomal RNA
Source: RNAcentral
GUAGGGUCCGAGCGUUGUCCGGAGUUACUGGGCGUAAAGGGCGCGCAGGUGGCGGUGUUGGCCCGGCGUGAAAGCCCCCGGCUCAACCGGGGAGGGUCGUCGGGGACCGCACCGCUUGAGGGCGGUAGGGGCUGGUGGAAUGCCUGGUGUAGUGGUGAAAUGCGUAGAGAUCAGGCGGAACACCCGUAGCGAAGGCGGCCAGCUGGGCCGGCCCUGACACUGAGGCGCGAAGGCGUGGGGAGCGAACGGGAUUAGAUACCCCGGUAGUCCACGCAGUAAACGAUGCCGACUAGGCGUGGGGGGAGUUGACCCCCUCCGUGCCGGAGCCAACGCGGGAAGUCGGCCGCCUGGGGAGUACGGCCGCAAGGCUAAA